AGCUCGUAGGUGGUUUGUCGCGUUGUUCGUGAAAUCUCACGGCUUAACUGUGAGCGUGCGGGCGAUACGGGCAGACUUGAGUACUGCAGGGGAGACUGGAAUUCCUGGUGUAGCGGUGGAAUGCGCAGAUAUCAGGAGGAACACCGGUGGCGAAGGCGGGUCUCUGGGCAGUAACUGACGCUGAGGAGCGAAAGCGUGGGGAGCGAACAGGAUUAGAUACCCUGGUAGUCCACGCCGUAAACGGUGGGUACUAGGUGUGGGUUUCCUUCCUUGGGAUCCGUGCCGUAGCUAACGCAUUAAGUACCCCGCCUGGGGAGUACGGCCGCAAGGCUAAAACUCAAAGAAAUUGACGGGGGCCCGCACAAGCGGCGGAGCAUGUGGAUUAAUUCGAUGCAACGCGAAGAACCUUACCUGGGUUUGACAUGCACAGGACGCCGGCAGAGAUGUCGGUUCCCUUGUGGCCUGUGUGCAGGUGGUGCAUGGCUGUCGUCAGCUCGUGUCGUGAGAUGUUGGGUUAAGUCCCGCAACGAGCGCAACCCUUGUCUCAUGUUGCCAGCGGGUAAUGCCGGGGACUCGUGAGAGACUGCCGGGGUCAACUCGGAGGAAGGUGGGGAUGACGUCAAGUCAUCAUGCCCCUUAUGUCCAGGGCUUCACACAUGCUACAAUGGCCGGUACAAAGGGCUGCGAUGCCGCGAGGUUAAGCGAAUCCUUUUAAAGCCGGUCUCAGUUCGGAUCGGGGUCUGCAACUCGACCCCGUGAAGUCGGAGUCGCUAGUAAUCGCAGAUCAGCAACGCUG
Molecule: ribosomal RNA, 796 nt
Filed under: uncultured Mycobacterium sp.
Lineage: Bacteria; Bacillati; Actinomycetota; Actinomycetes; Mycobacteriales; Mycobacteriaceae
Description: bacterial SSU rRNA
Rfam family: Bacterial small subunit ribosomal RNA
Source: RNAcentral